Molecule: long non-coding RNA, 1063 nt
Organism: Panicum virgatum (switchgrass)
Lineage: Eukaryota; Viridiplantae; Streptophyta; Magnoliopsida; Poales; Poaceae
Exons: 2
Source: RefSeq, a predicted model, not a curated record
CCCAGACUCCUCGCGGCGCCUUCGACCGGUCCGCCUCGCAGGCGUGGUGAGCUAGGUCGGCCGGCGGCGUGUGCUUAUCCCCUUCCUCGUAGCUUUGCCGGCGCCCGAAGCUGCUGCUGCUGGUGCCGCUGCCGGCAUGACCACCGAGCGCGGAUCCGGCGGCCACCGCCCUGCUCCGAGUGGAUCCGGCCGCCACCACCCUGCUCCACGCGGAUCCGGCCGCCACCGCCCUCCCCCGCGCCGCGCAGGCGCGUGCGCCGCUCUAUCCGCCGGCCUGGAGCACGGCCGGAGGGAGCACGGAGCAGGGGAGAGCCAGGCCGAGCACGGCACACGCCGCCGCCUCCGUCGGCACCCGGGCCUCCGCCAGGACCAUCAAGCCGACCCACGCCGACGCCGGGGUUCAGGAGACCGGGCCGAGCCGCUGUCUCAUCAUCCAGCAGCGCGCGGGCGGCUUGUCCCCGUCCCCGUCCCCGCGCUCCUCGUCGCUACCGGCAGAGACAAAGAAGAACACCAAUAGAGCCCUCCGAAGCAACGCACCGGCAACGAAGAAGAAGAAUCGAAUCAGCAGGUUAUGAUACCUGUAACCCAGAUUUACUCGGUAUGGAGGAUACGUUAGCUACAGCUAAACCUCAGUCAUCUGAUCACCAACCUCCUCUGCCGAAUGAAGGAGUUCGGGCUGUUACCAAUAAAGUAGACAGUGAAGUUCACCCGAACGAGAUUUGGAAUUGAUUAUUUCGAUGUUCUUAAAUUUUCUUAACUCCUUAUUUAUGUUAGCCUUAAUGCUAAACAAGAGAAGCGUGCAGGUUGCCAAGAGCAGGCCAACAGAUUGGAUUUCAGGAUUUCCAAUUACAAAUAGACGUUUGCAGGUUAGGAUCAUCAUAUGCCACAUGAAGUGUGUACAUCUCUACUGUGGUUAUAACCUUUUGAAUCCAUGUCGGGUCCAGAUUAUAAAGAACAAUGACCUUCAACUGGUUCUGGAACUUUUGGAACUGUAUAUAAUGGUAAAUAGAGAGGCACUGAUGCUGCAAUAAAAAUAAUCAAUGACAGAUGUUUUGCUGGGAAA